Molecule: small nucleolar RNA, 72 nt
Organism: Petromyzon marinus (sea lamprey)
Lineage: Eukaryota; Metazoa; Chordata; Hyperoartia; Petromyzontiformes; Petromyzontidae
Source: RefSeq, a predicted model, not a curated record
CGGUGAUGAGUUUUGAGUUUAGCUGGAAUUACCGGCAGAUUGUUUGGUGGUGAGAAAACGACUCUUCUGAGC